AGCAGCCGCGGUAAUUCCAGCUCCAAUAGCGUAUAUUAAAGUUGUUGCAGUUAAAAAGCUCGUAGUUGAAUUUCGGGAUCAAUACGUCGGUCGUGCCUCGGUACGUACUGGCGUCAUUGAUUUCUCCCUUCUGAAGAACCGUGAUGCCAUUAACUUGGUGUCAUGGGAAAUCAGGACUGUUACUUUGAAAAAUUAGAGUGUUUAAAGCAGGCUCACGCUUGAAUACAUUAGCAUGGAAUAAUGAAAUAGGACGUUCGACCCUAUUUUGUUGGUUUCUAGGAUCAACGUAAUGAUUAAUAGGGAUAGUUGGGGGCAUUAGUAUUCAAUUGUCAGAGGUGAAAUUCUUGGAUUUAUUGAAGACUAACUACUGCGAAAGCAUUUGCCAAGGAUGUUUUCAUUAAUACAAGAACGAAAGUUAGGGGAUCGAAGACGAUCAGAUACCGUCGUAGUCUUAACC
RNAcentral lists this ribosomal RNA (457 nucleotides) under uncultured Glomus. Its description in RNAcentral is "SSU rRNA". It matches the Rfam family "Eukaryotic small subunit ribosomal RNA", at positions 569 to 1031 of the family's 1831-position model. The record is from RNAcentral. Lineage: Eukaryota; Fungi; Glomeromycota; Glomeromycetes; Glomerales; Glomeraceae.